Molecule: ribosomal RNA, 497 nt
Filed under: uncultured bacterium
Lineage: Bacteria
Description: partial 16S ribosomal RNA
Rfam family: Bacterial small subunit ribosomal RNA
Source: RNAcentral
GAUGAACGCUGGCGGCGUGCCUAAUACAUGCAAGUCGAGCGAACAGACGAGGAGCUUGCUCCUCUGACGUUAGCGGCGGACGGGUGAGUAACACGUGGAUAACCUACCUAUAAGACUGGGAUAACUUCGGGAAACCGGAGCUAAUACCGGAUAAUAUAUUGAACCGCAUGGUUCAAUAGUGAAAGACGGUUUUGCUGUCACUUAUAGAUGGAUCCGCGCCGCAUUAGCUAGUUGGUAAGGUAACGGCUUACCAAGGCAACGAUGCGUAGCCGACCUGAGAGGGUGAUCGGCCACCCUGGAACUGAGACACGGUCCAGACUCCUACGGGAGGCAGCAGUAGGGAAUCUUCCGCAAUGGGCGAAAGCCUGACGGAGCAACGCCGCGUGAGUGAUGAAGGUCUUCGGAUCGUAAAACUCUGUUAUUAGGGAAGAACAAAUGUGUAAGUAACUAUGCACGUCUUGACGGUACCUAAUCAGAAGGCCACGGCUAACUACGUG